GAUGAACGCUAGCUACAGGCUUAACACAUGCAAGUCGAGGGGCAGCAUGUUGGUUGCUUGCAACCAACGAUGGCGACCGGCGCACGGGUGAGUAACGCGUAUCCAACCUGCCCACCACUUGGAGAUAACCUUGCGAAAGUAAGACUAAUACCCAAUGACGUCUCUAGAAGACAUCUGAAAGAGAUUAAAGAUUUAUCGGUGAUGGAUGGGGAUGCGUCUGAUUAGCUUGUUGGCGGGGUAACGGCCCACCAAGGCGACGAUCAGUAGGGGUUCUGAGAGGAAGGUCCCCCCACAUUGGAACUGAGACACGGUCCAAACUCCUACGGGAGGCAGCAGUGAGGAAUAUUGGUCAAUGGGGCGAGAGCCUGAACCAGCCAAGUAGCGUGCAGGAUGACGGCCCUAUGGGUUGUAAACUGCUUUUAUAAGGGAAUAAAGUGAGCCUCGUGAGGCUUUUUGCAUGUACCUUAUGAAUAAGGACCGGCUAA
RNAcentral lists this ribosomal RNA (485 nucleotides) under uncultured bacterium. RNAcentral's name for it is "bacterial SSU rRNA". It matches the Rfam family "Bacterial small subunit ribosomal RNA", at positions 28 to 500 of the family's 1533-position model. The record is from RNAcentral.